RNAcentral lists this ribosomal RNA (460 nucleotides) under uncultured bacterium. RNAcentral's name for it is "partial 16S ribosomal RNA". It matches the Rfam family "Bacterial small subunit ribosomal RNA", at positions 338 to 795 of the family's 1533-position model. The record is from RNAcentral.
CCUACGGGAGGCAGCAGUGAGGAAUAUUGGUCAAUGGUCGCGAGACUGAACCAGCCAAGUCGCGUGCAGGAUGACGGUCCUAUGGGUUGUAAACUUCUUUUAUGGGGGGACAAAAUGCGCCACGCGUGGCGUUUCGUAGGUACCCGAAGAAAAAGGAUCGGCUAACUCCGUGCCAGCAGCCGCGGUAAUACGGAAGGUCCGAGCGUUAUCCGGAUUUAUUGGGUUUAAAGGGGGCGGAGGCGGCAAGUUAAGCGUGGCGGUAAAUUUGGUGGCUCAACCUUCUCCAAGCGGUGCAAACUGGCUUUCUUGAGUGAGCGAGACGUAUGCGGAAUGCGUGGUGUAGCGGUGAAAUGCAUAGAUAUCACGCAGAACUCCGAUUGCGAAGGCAGCAUACCGGAGCGCAACUGACGCUGAUGCACGAAAGCGUGGGUAUCGAACAGGAUUAGAUACCCGGGUAGUC